Molecule: ribosomal RNA, 114 nt
Filed under: uncultured bacterium
Lineage: Bacteria
Description: partial 16S ribosomal RNA
Rfam family: Bacterial small subunit ribosomal RNA
Source: RNAcentral
CACCGCCCGUCACAUCAUGAAAGCCGUUUGUACCCGAAGUCGUCGUGUUAACCGCAAGGAGACAGAUGCCGAAGGUAUGGAUGGUGAUUGGGAUGAAGUCGUAAACAAGGUACC